GUCCUCACUUCAGCUGCACAUAUACUAAAAUUGAAAUGAUACAGAGAAGAUUAGCAUGGCCCCUGUACAAGGAUGACAUGCAAGUUUAGGAAGCAUUCCUUAUUUUU
Budorcas taxicolor (takin) is the source of this 107-nucleotide small nuclear RNA. Lineage: Eukaryota; Metazoa; Chordata; Mammalia; Artiodactyla; Bovidae. The record is from RefSeq and is a predicted model, not a curated record.